This is a long non-coding RNA of Raphanus sativus (radish), 699 nucleotides long. RefSeq lists it as uncharacterized. The record is from RefSeq and is a predicted model, not a curated record. The transcript is spliced from 2 exons. NCBI's taxonomy places the organism in Eukaryota, Viridiplantae, Streptophyta, Magnoliopsida, Brassicales, Brassicaceae.
UAGCGGCUAAAUUUUUUUUUUGUGAUUAUAAUAAUAAUAUUAAAGCAAACAUAACUAAGGACCAGUCCGUAAAUAGGCAUCUGAAGGACUUGAUCCUUAGCUGAUCUUUAGUGCAGGUGGCAUGUUGCCAUUGGUGGAGAGAGUAUUGGUCUGGGUUCUUGCCACGCUUUUGAGUUUCCGAUCGAAUCGUCCGCCUCGUCGCCUCCGAUCCGGUGAGUCUUCUUCUCCAUCAUCCGGUGUGGAUAUGUUGCCUCCGAUCCGAGGAAGAAGCAGGAGUGAUUGAGUAUAAUACUUUGUUAGCUCACUAAAGGCUCGACGAGAUUCUUUGGGUUCAAAGCUGAGUGAGCUAUUGGAAGCUAAGGUUUCUGUCACGAGAGACUCCUUGACCAGUCUCUCUCUCUCUCUUUCUUUUUGUUCUGCAGAGCAACGUAAGUUACUUAAACCAUCCUUUGGCACCUAUCUUGUUGAUAAUUGGAUUGUGGUCAUCCUCAUUACAAACACAGCUGAGGGUGGCUAUACUCCGGCUACUAAGGACAAUAACUCAGGAGCUUUCACGUUUGGAGUUAACGGUGUCGUUUCUUCGUGUUUGUUGGUUCUUCUCUUUGCUUUCUUCAUGUUUUCAGUUUCUUUUCUUGAAUAAUGAUCUCGGUGUUCUUUCUUCAUGUGUUGAGCCUCAUUGUGAGUUUCUUUCAUUGUCUA